This is a long non-coding RNA of Urocitellus parryii (Arctic ground squirrel), 592 nucleotides long. RefSeq lists it as uncharacterized. Lineage: Eukaryota; Metazoa; Chordata; Mammalia; Rodentia; Sciuridae. The record is from RefSeq and is a predicted model, not a curated record.
CCAACCCAUUUCCAUAAGGCCGGCUUUAAAACCCACCCAGUCCUCCCCUGGGACUGAGAAGGGACAGGCAGGGGACGCUGUGCCACAAGGUGGCGCCUCUGUCCUGGAGGGUCCCUCCCAGGCCCAGGUGUCCUGUGUGCCCUCUGACCCUGCCAUCUGUCCUUCCCAGCACUGAUCAGGCCCAUCCUGAGACCUGCAGGGCAGGCUGUGACUCGCUGGCGRUCCCUCGGCAGUCCUGGGCUCCCAGGAGCUGUGCCCGCACCUGCAGCUCUGGUGGGCGGCUCCGCAGAGACGCCGGGCGAAGCUGCCUUCACCAGGACACRAGGGAAAUCCAAUCCAUUUUUCCUUCGGAGUUUCCUAGAGAUAAUCACACCAUCAGGAGGUCCAGUCAUCGCCCUUGGAAUGACCUUGGAGGCAGCAGGGCCAGCCUGUUUUACCGAGUGCCCGCAGGGCGGGGCASCAGGAGGGGCCUGCCACCCACCCCCCAGAGAAUCUCCAGGGCCCACUCCCCCAUGCCCUUGAUGCUCUGAUGACACAGAACUCCCUGUGGAGACGGACACAACACCUUUAUAGGUUUUUAUGUGGUGCUGAG